This 505-nucleotide ribosomal RNA is filed under the name Simulium malyschevi. RNAcentral's name for it is "partial 12S ribosomal RNA". Lineage: Eukaryota; Metazoa; Arthropoda; Insecta; Diptera; Simuliidae. The record is from RNAcentral.
AUUAGUAAUAGUUAAUUUGUUUAAGUUAAUAAAAUUAAUUUAAAUUUUUUAAGUGAAAUUUUAAAUUUAAUUAAUUUUAUAUGAAAAAGUUAAUGAAGCUAGAAAAUUUUAAUAAUAAACUAGGAUUAGAUACCCUAUUAUUUAAAAAGUAAAAUUCAAUACUUGAGUAGUAAUAGAUAUGAUCUUCAAACUUAAAGAAUUUGGCGGUGUUUUAGUCUAUUUAGAGGAACCUGUCCUGUAAUCGAUAAUCCACGUUGGACCUUACUAAAAUUUGUUGUCAAUUUGUAUAUCGCCGUUAUCAGAAUAUCUUAAAAGAGGAAUAAUUUUCUUAAUUUAUUAUUAUAAUUGAUGUCAGGUCAAGGUGCAGUUUAUAUUUUAGUAGAGAUGGGUUACAAUAAAUUUAUUUAAACGUUAAAUUAUUUGAAAUAAUGAUUUUAAGGUGGAUUUAAAAGUAAAAUAAUGGAUAUAAUUUAUUUGAUUAUAGCUCUAAAACAUGCACACAUCG